RNAcentral lists this long non-coding RNA (542 nucleotides) under Gossypium barbadense (sea-island cotton). Its description in RNAcentral is "long non-coding RNA (GBAR_LNC009857)". Lineage: Eukaryota; Viridiplantae; Streptophyta; Magnoliopsida; Malvales; Malvaceae. The record is from RNAcentral.
CUCAUCUUUGUGUGCAUCUCCUCGGCAAAGCCGCUCAAGAAGUGGUCACCAUUAAGCACACUGGCUAGUUGAACUACCUCGCUCUGAAAUUCAGAGAGACCAGCGUCUUCGUUUGCUGCUGUUGUCCUCAGUGGUGCUGCCUCUGGUAACUUCUCUGCAAUUAUUUCAAAUGAAACUAAUUAUUGGUAUAAUUGAGUCUUUACCAUAUCAAACACGUACUCGUAUAUGUCAUUCAUUCAAAAGUCCUUGCAACAUAAAAUUGAAGAAAAAUAUACCUGGGCAAUCAGUUCUAGGAGAGGAUAGCUCUCCGACAACGCGUUCGAAAGUGCCGGCCCAAGCAUCUCUAUGAGUCAAGAAGUUGGAAGAUAGAUUGAACAUUUUCUUUAUCGUUGCAGGGAUCGAUGAGUGCUCGAAUUCAGAGUUCGGGAAAGGACCCUUCGGACCACUAAUCACUGCAACAGAGCCACCCCAAUAUUAGCAGAGCAAUCGCAUGCAUCUAAAGGCAUCAACAUUUAACUUACCAGUGCCUUUCUUGAUCCAAG